UCAAGAUCGACUCUGAUACCAAUUGGGUUACAAAUCUCGUCAGAUCCAAACCUAGAUUAUAAUUAUUAAGAGAUUUUAGAGGUGGAUCAUACAAGUUCAGCUCUGAUACCAAUUGUAAUGACCCAACUUACUAGUAACAAUAAUUCGUUGGGCCCAAACUAUCGACCCAAAAUACUUAAGUCCAAUUAAUAUUACUAGCAUGAAGGUCUCAUAUAUCCCAAUCAGAAUUAUUUUGCCAUUCGAUAAAGGACUAUUGGGGGGUUAUACUUGGUUUGCGAUAUAUUUGAAAAUUCCUAGAAAUGUAGGUCGGGAAUUAAGGAUUCCAACGUUUGAUUUGCCACAGAAAUUCAAAUCAUAGAAAUUUAGGAUUCGUAAAUACUAGUGAAGGGGCCCCGCACGAUGCAGCGGGCGCUGUAUAGCGAGAAGACAAUAUAAUAGUAAAUUAUUAUAACUAUUAACAUAACUUUUUUUCCUAUUAUACAUUAAUAUUUUUCAAUAUUAUUUGUCUCAAUAUUGAAUAAUUAAAAAUUAAAGAAUAAAAUUAAAGUAUAUUUCUAUCAAAAAAAUUUAAACCAUAAAAAAAAAUAAUGAGAGAAAAAAAUAAAAAAAAAAGAAAAAAUGUAGGGUGUGUGAGAGAGAGUGAGAGAAAGGGAAAAAAAGUGUGUGAGAGAUAGUGAGAGAGAGGGGGUAAAAAAAA
This 697-nucleotide long non-coding RNA is filed under the name Ananas comosus (pineapple). RNAcentral describes it as "long non-coding RNA (ACOM_LNC040879)". Lineage: Eukaryota; Viridiplantae; Streptophyta; Magnoliopsida; Poales; Bromeliaceae. The record is from RNAcentral.